RNAcentral lists this ribosomal RNA (2453 nucleotides) under Acinetobacter baumannii 607805. RNAcentral's name for it is "bacterial LSU rRNA". It matches the Rfam family "Bacterial large subunit ribosomal RNA", at positions 14 to 2504 of the family's 2925-position model. The record is from RNAcentral. Lineage: Bacteria; Pseudomonadati; Pseudomonadota; Gammaproteobacteria; Moraxellales; Moraxellaceae.
AGUGCAUGUGGUGGAUGCCUUGGCAGUCAGAGGCGAUGAAAGACGUGAUAGCCUGCGAAAAGCUCCGGGGAGGCGGCAAAUAUCCUUUGAUCCGGAGAUGUCUGAAUGGGGGAACCCACCUACUUUAAGGUAGGUAUUGCAACAUGAAUACAUAGUGUUGCAAGGCGAACGAGGGGAAGUGAAACAUCUCAGUACCCUUAGGAAAAGAAAUCAAUUGAGAUUCCCUCAGUAGCGGCGAGCGAACGGGGAUCAGCCCAUUAAGUUAUGUGUGUUUUAGUGGAACGCUCUGGGAAGUGCGAACGUAGAGGGUGAUAUUCCCGUACACGAAAGGGCACACAUAAUGAUGACGAGUAGGGCGAGGCACGUGAAACCUUGUCUGAAUAUGGGGGGACCAUCCUCCAAGGCUAAAUACUCCUGACUGACCGAUAGUGAACCAGUACCGUGAGGGAAAGGCGAAAAGAACCCCUGUGAGGGGAGUGAAAUAGAUCCUGAAACCGCAUGCAUACAAGCAGUGGGAGCACCUUCGUGGUGUGACUGCGUACCUUUUGUAUAAUGGGUCAGCGACUUAUAUUCAGUAGCGAGGUUAACCGUAUAGGGGAGCCGUAGAGAAAUCGAGUCUUAAUAGGGCGUUUAGUUGCUGGGUAUAGACCCGAAACCAGGCGAUCUAUCCAUGAGCAGGUUGAAGGUUGGGUAACACUAACUGGAGGACCGAACCCACUGUCGUUGAAAAGCCAGGGGAUGACUUGUGGAUAGGGGGGAAAGGCUAAUCAAGCCUGGUGAUAGCUGGUUCUCCCCGAAAGCUAUUUAGGUAGCGCCUCGGACGAAUACCAUAGGGGGUAGAGCACUGUUUCGGCUAGGGGGUCAUCCCGACUUACCAAACCGAUGCAAACUCCGAAUACCUAUGAGUACUAUCCGGGAGACAGACUGCGGGUGCUAACGUCCGUAGUCAAGAGGAAAACAAUCCAGACCGCCAGCUAAGGCCCCAAAAUCAUAGUUAAGUGGGAAACGAUGUGGGAAGGCAUAGACAGCUAGGAGGUUGGCUUAGAAGCAGCCACCCUUUAAAGAAAGCGUAAUAGCUCACUAGUCGAGUCGGCCUGCGCGGAAGAUGUAACGGGGCUAAAACUAUGUGCCGAAGCUGCGGAUUUGACAUUAGUCAAGUGGUAGGGGAGCGUUCUGUAAGCCGAUGAAGGUGUGUUGAGAAGUAUGCUGGAGGUAUCAGAAGUGCGAAUGCUGACGUGAGUAACGACAAAACGGGUGAAAAACCCGUUCGCCGAAAGACCAAGGGUUCCAGUCCAACGUUAAUCGGGGCUGGGUGAGUCGACCCCUAAGGCGAGGCCGAAAGGCGUAGUCGAUGGGAAAUUGGUUAAUAUUCCAUUACUUCUGUGUAAUGCGAUGAGAGGACGGAGAAGGCUAAAUCAGCCUGGCGUUGGUUGUCCAGGUGAAAGGAUGUAGGCAUGUAUCUUAGGCAAAUCCGGGGUACUCUAUGCUGAGAUCUGAUAGCAAGCUGUACUUGUACAGCGAAGUGGUUGAUGCCAUGCUUCCAGGAAAAGUCUCUAAGCUUCAGUUACACAGGAAUCGUACCCGAAACCGACACAGGUGGUCAGGUCGAGUAGACCAAGGCGCUUGAGAGAACUCUGCUGAAGGAACUAGGCAAAAUGGUACCGUAACUUCGGGAGAAGGUACGCUGUUGUUGGUGAUGGAACUCGCUUCCUGAGCUGACGACAGCCGCAGAAACCAGGCCGCUGCAACUGUUUAUUAAAAACAUAGCACUCUGCAAACACGAAAGUGGACGUAUAGGGUGUGAUGCCUGCCCGGUGCUGGAAGGUUAAUUGAUGGGGUUAGCGUAAGCGAAGCUCUUGAUCGAAGCCCCAGUAAACGGCGGCCGUAACUAUAACGGUCCUAAGGUAGCGAAAUUCCUUGUCGGGUAAGUUCCGACCUGCACGAAUGGCAUAAUGAUGGCGGCGCUGUCUCCAGCAGAGGCUCAGUGAAAUCGAAAUCGCUGUGAAGAUGCAGUGUCCCCGCGGCUAGACGGAAAGACCCCGUGAACCUUUACUGCAGCUUGACACUGAACUUUGACCUUACUUGUGUAGGAUAGGUGGGAGGCUUUGAAGCUGGAACGCUAGUUCCAGUGGAGCCGUCCUUGAAAUACCACCCUGGUAAUGUUGAGGUUCUAACUCUGUCCCGUGAUCCGGGACGAGGACCGUGUCUGGUGGGUAGUUUGACUGGGGCGGUCUCCUCCUAAAGAGUAACGGAGGAGUACGAAGGUGCGCUCAGCGUGGUCGGAAAUCACGCGUAGAGUAUAAAGGCAAAAGCGCGCUUAACUGCGAGACCCACAAGUCGAGCAGGUACGAAAGUAGGUCUUAGUGAUCCGGUGGUUCUGUAUGGAAGGGCCAUCGCUCAACGGAUAAAAGGUACUCUGGGGAUAACAGGCUGAUACCGCCCAAGAGUUCAUA